AACGAACGCUGGCGGCAGGCUUAACACAUGCAAGUCGAGCGCAUCCUUCGGGAUGAGCGGCAGACGGGUGAGUAACGCGUGGGAACCUACCCUGAGGUUCGGAACAACCGCUGGAAACGGCGGCUGAUACCGGAUGAGCCCGAGAGGGGAAAGAUUAAUCGCCUUGGGAUGGGCCCGCGUCGGAUUAGGUAGUUGGUAGGGUAAUGGCCUACCAAGCCGACGAUCCGUAGCUGGUCUGAGAGGAUGACCAGCCACACUGGGACUGAGACACGGCCCAGACUCCUACGGGAGGCAGCAGUGGGGAAUAUUGGACAAUGGGCGCAAGCCUGAUCCAGCCAUGCCGCGUGAGUGAUGAAGGCCUUAGGGUUGUAAAGCUCUUUCGCCGGUGAAGAUAAUGACGGUAACCGGAGAAGAAGCCCCGGCUAACUUCGUGCCAGCCGCCGCGGUAACAC
RNAcentral lists this ribosomal RNA (452 nucleotides) under uncultured bacterium. RNAcentral's name for it is "bacterial SSU rRNA". It matches the Rfam family "Bacterial small subunit ribosomal RNA", at positions 29 to 526 of the family's 1533-position model. The record is from RNAcentral.